RNAcentral lists this ribosomal RNA (393 nucleotides) under uncultured Sulfurospirillum sp. Its description in RNAcentral is "bacterial SSU rRNA". It matches the Rfam family "Bacterial small subunit ribosomal RNA", at positions 985 to 1382 of the family's 1533-position model. Lineage: Bacteria; Pseudomonadati; Campylobacterota; Epsilonproteobacteria; Campylobacterales; Sulfurospirillaceae. The record is from RNAcentral.
GAUGCAGCUGCAGGCCUAUGAAGUAGGCUCCUUCAGGUGGCUGCACAGGUGCUGCAUGGCUGUCGUCAGUUCGUGCCGUGAGGUGUUUGGUUAAGUCCAGCAACGAACGCAACCCCCUGUGUCCAGUUGCCAUCAGGUAACGCUGGGAACUCUGGACAGACUGCCCGUUCACACGGGAGGAAGGUGGGGACGACGUCAAGUCAGUAUGGCCCUUACAUCCGGGGCUGCACACGUGCUACAAUGGCCGGCACAAAGGGAAGCCAAGCCGCGAGGCCGAGCCAAUCCCCAAAACCGGCCCCAGUUCAGAUCGGGGUCUGCAACCCGACCCCGUGAAGUCGGAUUUGCUAGUAACGGCGCAUCAGCUACGGCGCCGUGAAUACGUUCCCGGGCCUU